UACGAAGGGGGCUAGCGUUGCUCGGAAUCACUGGGCGUAAAGCGCACGUAGGCGGGUUGUUAAGUCGGGGGUGAAAUCCUGGAGCUCAACUCCAGAACUGCCUUCGAUACUGGCGACCUUGAGUCCGGGAGAGGUGAGUGGAACUCCGAGUGUAGAGGUGAAAUUCGUAGAUAUUCGCAAGAACACCAGUGGCGAAGGCGGCUCACUGGCCCGAUACUGACGCUGAGGUGCGAAAGCGUGGGGAGCAAACAGG
This 253-nucleotide ribosomal RNA is filed under the name uncultured bacterium. RNAcentral describes it as "partial 16S ribosomal RNA". It matches the Rfam family "Bacterial small subunit ribosomal RNA", at positions 524 to 776 of the family's 1533-position model. The record is from RNAcentral.